RNAcentral lists this long non-coding RNA (207 nucleotides) under Nicotiana benthamiana. RNAcentral's name for it is "long non-coding RNA (NBEN_LNC026226)". Lineage: Eukaryota; Viridiplantae; Streptophyta; Magnoliopsida; Solanales; Solanaceae. The record is from RNAcentral.
ACUCUCUUAUAGAGUAGAUAUGAGUAGACUUAAGAACACUCAAGAACACAACAAUUUCUUCAAGAUUUUGGCUCUCAAAAGCUAUGAAAUAUGAAUGAAUUGAAUGCAAUGAAAGUAUAAUAGAGUGUUGAAGAAUUGUUAUAGAAAUGAGAGGUUUUGGGGUCUAUUUAUAGCCCUCAAGGAUCAAGUGACCGUUGCUCAAUAGUU